Molecule: ribosomal RNA, 678 nt
Filed under: Triticum aestivum (bread wheat)
Lineage: Eukaryota; Viridiplantae; Streptophyta; Magnoliopsida; Poales; Poaceae
Description: partial small subunit ribosomal RNA
Source: RNAcentral
AUGGGCACGGCAACUCUGACGACAGACCAAGAAGAGCUUCAGAAACGGAAACCGACCCAAGCGUCUCAGCUCCUCUGCCGCAGCGGCCCGCCGCGACGCAAGAUGGGGACAGACGCCCCCGCCCCCGCCCCGGCCGCGGCCGCCGGAGACGGCGACGCGGCCCGGAAGCGGCCGGGCGGGCAGGACGCGGCCGCGGGCGCCGACAGCAAGCGCCGCCGCGCGGAGCACCCCUCCUCCGGCUCCCGCGAGCGCCACGGCCAGCAGCCGCAGCCGCAGCCGCAGCGGCAGCAGAGGCCGGGGCGCCCCGGGGACGGGGGCAAGGGGAAGAGGGAGACGAUGCGGGCGUCGCACAUCCUGAUCAAGCACGAGGGGUCCCGGCGCAAGGCCUCGUGGCGGGACCCCGACGGCGUCGCCAUCUCCGCCACCACCCGCGACGACGCCGCCGACCUCGCCCGCGCCCUCCGCGACCAGAUCGCCGCCGGGGAGCUCCAGUUCGACGCCGCCGCCCGCGACAACUCCGACUGCAACUCCGCCAAGCGCGGCGGCGACCUCGGUCCAUUCGAGAAGGGCAAGAUGCAGAAGCCUUUCGAGAAGGCAGUGAUUGCUCUGAAGGUGGGGGACAUGAGCGACGUGGUUGACACUGAGAGCGGGGUGCACAUCAUCCUGAGGACCGGGUGA